UCCCUGGUGGACUAAUGGAUAAGGAUCCCACACUCUCACUGCUGUGGCCCAGGUUCAAUCCUCAGGCAGGGAA
This is a non-coding RNA of Pangasius djambal, 73 nucleotides long. The record is from the annotation of a GenBank genome assembly. Lineage: Eukaryota; Metazoa; Chordata; Actinopteri; Siluriformes; Pangasiidae.